UUUGCAUAUCAAAAGCGGAGGAAAAGAAACCAACUGGGAUUACCUUAGUAACGGCGAGUGAAGCGGUAAAAUUGCAUAUCAAUAAUCGGAGGAAAAGAAACCAACAGGGAUUGCCUCAGUAACGGCGAGUGAAGCGGCAAAAGCUCAAAUUUGAAAUCCCCCGGGAAUUGUAAUUGGAAGAGAUUUGGUUCCGGCCGGCGGGGUUUAAUUCCACUGGAAAGUGGCGCCACAGAGGGUGACAGCCCCGUGAACCCCUUCAAGGCCUUCAUCCCAGAUCUCCAAGAGUCGAGUUGUUUGGGAAUGCAGCUCUAAGUGGGUGGUAAAUUCCAUCUAAAGCUAAAUACCGGCGAGAGACCGAUAGCGAACAAGUACAGUGAUGGAAAGAUGAAAAGCACUUUGAAAAGAGAGUGAAAAAGUACGUGAAAUUGUUGAAAGGGAAGGGCUUGCAAGCAGACAUUUAACUGGGCCAGCAUCGGGGCGGCGGGAAACAAAACCACCGGGGAAUGUACCUGCGAGGAUUAUAACCCCGGUCUCCAUUUCCAUGUCUGCCCCGAGGCCUGCAAUCUAAGGAUGCUGGCGUAAUGGUUGCAGUCGCCCGUUUGAAAACGGACCAACAGGAUUGAGGACUGCGCUUCGGCAAGGAUGUUGGCAUAAUGGUUAAAUGCCGCCCGUCUU
Molecule: ribosomal RNA, 675 nt
Filed under: Metschnikowia sp. (in: budding yeasts & allies)
Lineage: Eukaryota; Fungi; Ascomycota; Pichiomycetes; Serinales; Metschnikowiaceae
Description: eukaryotic LSU rRNA
Rfam family: Eukaryotic large subunit ribosomal RNA
Source: RNAcentral